CAAGGGACCUGCUUAACAUGACGAAGUCUGAACGCUGAAGCCCAGCUUGCUGGGUGGAUGAGUGGCGAACGGGUGAGUAACACGUGGGUAAUCUGCCCUGUACUCUGGGAUAAGCCUGGGAAACUGGGUCUAAUACCGGAUAGGACACACUACCGCAUGGUGGUGUGUGGAAAGUUCCGGCGGUACAGGUUGAGCCCGCGGCCUAUCAGCUUGUUGGUGGGGUGAUGGCCUACCAAGGCGACGACGGGUAGCCGGCCUGAGAGGGUGACCGGCCACACUGGGACUGAGACACGGCCCAGACUCCUACGGGAGGCAGCAGUGGGGAAUAUUGCACAAUGGGCGCAAGCCUGAUGCAGCGACGCCGCGUGGGGGAUGACGGCCUUCGGGUUGUAAACCCCUUUCGCCCGGGACGAAGCGCAAGUGACGGUACCGGGAGAAGAAGCACCGGCCAACUACGUGCCAGCAGCCGCGGUAAUACGUAGGGUGCAAGCGUUGUCCGGAAUUAUUGGGCGUAAAGAGCUCGUAGGCGGUGUGUCACGUCUGCCGUGAAAACCUGCGGCUUAACCGUGGGCGUGCGGUGGAUACGGGCAUCACUUGAGUUCGGUAGGGGAGACUGGAAUUCCUGGUGUAGCGGUGGAAUGCGCAGAUAUCAGGAGGAACACCGGUGGCGAAGGCGGGUCUCUGGGCCGAAACUGACGCUGAGGAGCGAAAGCGUGGGGAGCGAACAGGAUUAGAUACCCUGGUAGUCCACGCCGUUAAACGUUNNGCGCUAGGUGUGCGGUGCUGUUCACUUGUCCCGUGCCUUAU
Molecule: ribosomal RNA, 807 nt
Filed under: Saccharomonospora sp.
Lineage: Bacteria; Bacillati; Actinomycetota; Actinomycetes; Pseudonocardiales; Pseudonocardiaceae
Description: bacterial SSU rRNA
Rfam family: Bacterial small subunit ribosomal RNA
Source: RNAcentral